Molecule: ribosomal RNA, 253 nt
Filed under: uncultured bacterium
Lineage: Bacteria
Description: partial 16S ribosomal RNA
Rfam family: Bacterial small subunit ribosomal RNA
Source: RNAcentral
UACGUAGGGGGCAAGCGUUGUCCGGAAUCAUUGGGCGUAAAGCGCGUGUAGGCGGCCUUGUAAGUCCGUUCUGAAAGCCCGGGGCUCAACCCCGGGAGGCGGAUGGAUACUGCAAGGCUCGAGUCCGGAAGAGGCGAGUGGAAUUCCCGGUGUAGCGGUGAAAUGCGCAGAUAUCGGGAGGAACACCUAUGGCGAAGGCAGCUCGCUGGGACGGUACUGACGCUGAGACGCGAAAGCGUGGGGAGCAAACAGG